This 550-nucleotide ribosomal RNA is filed under the name uncultured bacterium. Its description in RNAcentral is "bacterial SSU rRNA". It matches the Rfam family "Bacterial small subunit ribosomal RNA", at positions 355 to 896 of the family's 1533-position model. The record is from RNAcentral.
UAGGGAAUCUUCGGCAAUGGACGGAAGUCUGACCGAGCAACGCCGCGUGAGUGAAGAAGGUUUUCGGAUCGUAAAGCUCUGUUGUAAGAGAAGAACGAGUGUGAGAGUGGAAAGUUCACACUGUGACGGUAUCUUACCAGCAAGGGACGGCUAACUACGUGCCAGCAGCCGCGGUAAUACGUAGGUCCCGAGCGUUGUCCGGAUUUAUUGGGCGUAAAGCGAGCGCAGGCGGUUAGAUAAGUCUGAAGUUAAAGGCUGUGGCUUAACCAUAGUAGGCUUUGGAAACUGUUUAACUUGAGUGCAAGAGGGGAGGGUGGAAUUCCAUGUGUAGCGGUGAAAUGCGUAGAUAUAUGGAGGAACACCGGUGGCGAAAGCGGCUCUCUGGCUUGUAACUGACGCUGAGGCUCGAAAGCGUGGGGAGCAAACAGGAUUAGAUACCCUGGUAGUCCACGCUGUAAACGAUGAGUGCUAGGUGUUAGACCCUUUCCGGGGUUUAGUGCCGUAGCUAACGCAUCAAGCACUCCGCCUGGGGAGUACGACCGCAAGGUUG